RNAcentral lists this long non-coding RNA (626 nucleotides) under Musa acuminata (dwarf banana). RNAcentral describes it as "long non-coding RNA (MACU_LNC008768)". Lineage: Eukaryota; Viridiplantae; Streptophyta; Magnoliopsida; Zingiberales; Musaceae. The record is from RNAcentral.
AGAGAUGAGGGCAUUUGAACUUCUUCAUCUAAUCCCACAGAUCUGUAUGAAUUCAAAGAUAUACGAUCUCCCUAGGUAAUUCUCUUACGCGCAAUUUUUCAAUUUCGCGGGUUUUUGCAUACCAACUUUUGCACGACGAUAAGAAACAUUUUUUCUGUAGGAAUUCUGAGACUUUAUUUUCUAUUCUUCUUCUGUGCAUGUGAUAUCGCUCCAAAUUUCUCAACACCUUCCUCGUGUGAGAGUCACGAAUGAUGAUGCUAGCCGCUUGUAUCAUAGGCGAGAUGACAAAUCCAACUAUGAUUAGGGGUGGAGGCGAUGAUGAUGACACUUUACAUGAGGCAGAGGGGAGAGAAGGCAGUGCAAUGUUCGACGAUGCAUGGAGGAGGCAAAGGCAGCACAAGGGCAAUAGUAGAGGCGAUGUAAGGCGAAGGCAACAAUGGGUCUAGCAGAGAUAGAGGUAAAAUGAUUUUUCGUGCAAGAAGAGGCAUACUAUCGGAAUUUUUGAAAAUGAGGCUCCUUUGAUAGAAUUUCGGGUUUAGGAUUGUGAGCGACGAUGGCAUGCACUCGCAUGAGGGUGGGGCUAGCGAGAUAUGUAGAGGUGAUGACUGAUCGAUGAUGAAAGUAAG